UACGGAGGAUCCGAGCGUUAUCCGGAUUUAUUGGGUUUAAAGGGUGCGCAGGCGGGAGAUUAAGUCGGCGGUGAAAUUUUGCAGUUCAACUGUAAAAGUGCCUUCGAAACUGGUUUCCUUGAGUGUAGAUGAAGUAGGCGGAAUUUGUGGUGUAGCUGUGAAAUGCUUAGAGAUCACACAGAAUAUCGAUUGCGAAGGCAGCUCACAAAGCCAAGAUUGACGCUGAGGCACGAAAGUGUGGGGAUCAAACAGGAUUAGAUACCCGU
This 266-nucleotide ribosomal RNA is filed under the name uncultured prokaryote. RNAcentral describes it as "partial 16S ribosomal RNA". It matches the Rfam family "Bacterial small subunit ribosomal RNA", at positions 524 to 789 of the family's 1533-position model. The record is from RNAcentral.